UAAGCUAUAGUUUAUUAAAAAUAUAUGAUUUGCACUCAUCAGUAGUUCUAUUAGAACUUGCUUCA
Molecule: transfer RNA, 65 nt
Filed under: Gastroptychus investigatoris
Lineage: Eukaryota; Metazoa; Arthropoda; Malacostraca; Decapoda; Chirostylidae
Description: tRNA-Ala
Source: RNAcentral